This 554-nucleotide ribosomal RNA is filed under the name Rhizophagus irregularis. RNAcentral describes it as "SSU rRNA". It matches the Rfam family "Eukaryotic small subunit ribosomal RNA", at positions 557 to 1112 of the family's 1831-position model. The record is from RNAcentral. Lineage: Eukaryota; Fungi; Glomeromycota; Glomeromycetes; Glomerales; Glomeraceae.
AAGUCUGGUGCCAGCAGCCGCGGUAAUUCCAGCUCCAAUAGCGUAUAUUAAAGUUGUUGCAGUUAAAAAGCUCGUAGUUGAAUUUCGGGGUUAGUAGGUUGGUCAUGCCUCUGGUAUGUACUGGUCUCACUGAUUCCUCCUUCCUUAUGAACCGUAAUGCCAUUAAUUUGGUGUUGCGGGGAAUUUGGACUGUUACUUUGAAAAAAUUAGAGUGUUUAAAGCAAGCUAACGCUUGAAUACAUUAGCAUGGAAUAAUGAAAUAGGACGUUCGAUCUUAUUUUGUUGGUUUCUAGGACUGACGUAAUGAUUAAUAGGGAUAGUUGGGGGCAUUAGUAUUCAAUUGUCAGAGGUGAAAUUCUUGGAUUUAUUGAAGACUAACUACUGCGAAAGCAUUUGCCAAGGAUGUUUUCAUUAAUCAAGAACGAAAGUUAGGGGAUCGAAGACGAUCAGAUACCGUCGUAGUCUUAACCAUAAACUAUGCCGACUAGGGAUCGGAUGAUGUUAAUUUUUUAAUGACUCAUUCGGCGCCUUACGGGAAACCAAAGUGUUUGGGU